UUUGCUGUGUCCUUUUUCUGUUUCUUGGCAUCUGCUGUUCGUUUGUGUGCAUUCGUUGUAGGUAUUUGCUGGCGUGAAGUCGUACGUUGACGUGGCAUGGCUCGGAGCGGCGCAUGGAGGGAGCGGCGUUGGAGGCUGCUGUUGCGGCGCUCGUGCUAGGGCUGAAUGCCUAGGGUUUUUUAUUUUGAUUUUUGUUUUGGGCUGCGUUGUACUUUGGGCCAGGGUUAAAUGUUUGGGUAGUUAAUUUGGGUUUGGUUUAGUGGGUUUUGUAAUCUGGAUUGCUAUUGGACUGUUAUAAUUUUUUGUUUGGUUUAUAUUUGGGUUAUUAUUAUUUUUUUACUGGUUUAUUUUUGGUUUGUGGGCCCGGGAAAAUAUUAGGCCUUACAGAACCUAAUGUGAUUGUUAAUGCACCCACUAUUAAGGGUGAUGAUAUGAAUAAUCAAGAAUUUAAUAAUGAG
Molecule: long non-coding RNA, 458 nt
Filed under: Gossypium raimondii (Peruvian cotton)
Lineage: Eukaryota; Viridiplantae; Streptophyta; Magnoliopsida; Malvales; Malvaceae
Description: long non-coding RNA (GRAI_LNC003855)
Source: RNAcentral